Molecule: transfer RNA, 72 nt
Filed under: Hyphomonadaceae bacterium
Lineage: Bacteria; Pseudomonadati; Pseudomonadota; Alphaproteobacteria; Hyphomonadales; Hyphomonadaceae
Description: tRNA-Thr
Rfam family: tRNA
About the family: Transfer RNA (tRNA) molecules are approximately 80 nucleotides in length. Their secondary structure includes four short double-helical elements and three loops (D, anti-codon, and T loops).
Source: RNAcentral
GCCGCCCUAGCUCAGCGGUAGAGCAGCGCAAUUGUAAUGCGAAGGUCGGGUGUUCGAAUCACCUGGGCGGCC